GGCAGUCUCAGCCAGACCAGCUCUUACUUGAUGGAUAUCAAAGUCUGCUUGGGAAGUCAGCAACCUCUACGAUGGAGAGGACAUGCCGUAAAAAGCUCAGCUUGAGCUUGACUUUAGGCAACCUGACAGCAUGAACAUUGAAUUCUCCAAUUUCAGAGACUGCACAUCAUAUCAAGGCCAGCAUUUAUUGUUCGUACCUGAUUGUCCUUGAGAAGGUGGUGAUGAGCUGCCCUCUUGAAUCGCUGCAGUGGCUCUGCCGAAGGUAAUCUCACAUAGGUGUGGAUAGGGAGUUCAUGAUUUAGAUCUAGUGAAAAUAAGGGACUAGUGAUAUAUUUCCAAGUCAGAAUGGAGUGUGACUUGGAGGGAAGCUGCAGGUGGUGGUGCUCCCAUCUGCCUUGGCUACUGAAGUGACCACAGUAAACAGAACUGGAUAUAUUUUUAUUCAUUUAUUCAUUCAUGAAAUGUGGAUACCACUGCAUUUUAUUAUUUCAGUAGAGCCAGAGAGUUAUUCAGUACAGAAACGGGCCCUUUGGCCCAUCUUGCCCAUGCUGACCAUGAUGCUUAUUCUACACUAAUCCCAUUUGCCCACAUUAGGCCCAUAUCUCUCUGCUCCUUACCUAUUGAAGAACCUGUCCACAUACCUUUAAACACUGUGAUUAUCCCACUUUCUCUGGCAGCUCAUUCCAGAUAACCCCAGCUUCCGUGUGAAAAUUUGACCCACAGAUCUUCUUUAAAUUUCUCCCCUCUCACCCUAAACCUACGCUCUCUUGUUCUAGACUCCCCCAUCCCAGCAAAAGACUCUGGACAUGUGUCUUCUCUGUGCUCCUCAUAAUUUUAGGUUCAAGUUUAUUGUCAUAGGCAUACAUACACAGGGUAUAAAAGCCAUGAAAAUUAGCUUUUUGCAGCACCAGCACAGUAAAUUACAAACAUGACAAACAUAAGUUAACAUAAACUUAAACUAAC
Molecule: long non-coding RNA, 963 nt
Organism: Pristis pectinata (smalltooth sawfish)
Lineage: Eukaryota; Metazoa; Chordata; Chondrichthyes; Rhinopristiformes; Pristidae
Exons: 3
Source: RefSeq, a predicted model, not a curated record